UCUGUUUGUAAUUAUUAUUGAAAGUCUGGUCUGCCCACUGAUGAUUUAAAGGGCCGCGGUAAUUUGACUGUGCAAAGGUAGCAUAAUCAUUAGCUUUUUAAUUGAAAGCUGGAAUGAACGACUAGAUGAGAAAUAAACUGUCUUUCUUUAUUUUAUAGAAAUUAACUUUUAAGUGAAAAGGCUUAAAUUUUAUGAAGGGACGAUAAGACCCUAUAAAACUUAUAUAUGUUAUUUUAGUAAAUUUUAGAGUUAUAGUUUUAAUUAUUUAAUUAAUAUUAAUAUUUUGUUGGGGAGACAAGGAUAUAAAAUUUUCGUAACUGUCUAUUUAAAUUUUAUAUUUAUCUAUAUUUAGUGAUCCUUUAUUAGGGAUUAUAAGACAAAGUUACUUUAGGGAUAACAGCGUAAUUUUCUUUGAGAGAUCUUAUCGACAAGAAUAGUUGCGACCUCGAUGUUGAAUUAAGGUUUCGGGAAAGUGCAGUUUCUUUUCUAGUAGGUCUGUUCGACCUUUAAAAUC
This 514-nucleotide ribosomal RNA is filed under the name Paranchistus ornatus. Its description in RNAcentral is "partial 16S ribosomal RNA". It matches the Rfam family "Archaeal large subunit ribosomal RNA", at positions 1914 to 2664 of the family's 2987-position model. Lineage: Eukaryota; Metazoa; Arthropoda; Malacostraca; Decapoda; Palaemonidae. The record is from RNAcentral.